This 406-nucleotide ribosomal RNA is filed under the name uncultured bacterium. RNAcentral describes it as "partial 16S ribosomal RNA". It matches the Rfam family "Bacterial small subunit ribosomal RNA", at positions 30 to 526 of the family's 1533-position model. The record is from RNAcentral.
AUUGACCACUAGCGGCAAGCCUAACACAUGCAAGUCGAGCGAGCUGCGGACGGGUUAGUAAUGUCUGGGACACUGCCCGAUGGAGGGGGAUAACUACUGGAAUCGGUAGCUAAUACCGCGUACAAUCAUAUCUGCCCAGAUGGGACUAGCUCGUAGGUGGUUUAACGGCUCACCUAGGCGACGAUCCCUAGCUGGUCUGAGAUGAUGACCGGCCACACAGGAACUGAUAAACGGUCCAGACUCUUACGGGAGGCAGGAGUGGGGAAGAUUGCACAAUAGGCGCAAGCGUGAUGAAGCCCUGCCGCGUGUGUGAAGAAUGCCUGAGGGGUGUAAAGCCCUUUCUGCGGGGACGCGUUACCCGCAGAAGAAGCACCGGCUAACUCCGUGCCAGCAGCCGCGGUAAUUC